CGCACCUUGCGCUCCUUGGUAUUCCGAGGAGCAUGCCUGUCUGAGUGUCAUGAAAUCUUCAACCUAUAAACCUUUGCGGGUCUGUAGGCUUGGACUUGGAGGCUUGUCGGCUUAACGGUCGGCUCCUCUUAAAUGCAUUAGCUUGAUUCCUUGCGGAUCGGCUCUCGGUGUGAUAAUUGUCUACGCCGCGACCGUGAAGCGUUUGGCGAGCUUCUAAUCGUCUCUUAUGAGACAACACAUUGACCUCUGACCUCAAAUCAGGUAGGACUACCCGCUGAACUUAA
Molecule: unclassified non-coding RNA, 284 nt
Filed under: Polyporaceae sp.
Lineage: Eukaryota; Fungi; Basidiomycota; Agaricomycetes; Polyporales; Polyporaceae
Description: partial contains 5.8S ribosomal RNA, internal transcribed spacer 2, and large subunit ribosomal RNA
Source: RNAcentral